UACGGAGGGUGCGAGCGUUGUCCGGAAUCACUGGGCGUAGAGGGCGCGUAGGCGGCCUGAUAAGUAGGGGGUGAAAUCCUGCGGCUUAACCGCAGGGCUGCCUUCUAAACUGUCGGGCUAGAGCACGGUAGAGGCAGAUGGAAUUCCCGGUGUAGCGGUGGAAUGCGUAGAGAUCGGGAAGAACAUCAGUGGCGAAGGCGGUCUGCUGGGCCGUUGCUGACGCUGAGGCGCGACAGCGUGGGGAGCAAACAGG
Molecule: ribosomal RNA, 253 nt
Filed under: uncultured bacterium
Lineage: Bacteria
Description: partial 16S ribosomal RNA
Rfam family: Bacterial small subunit ribosomal RNA
Source: RNAcentral